Molecule: unclassified non-coding RNA, 425 nt
Filed under: soil metagenome
Description: partial contains 5.8S ribosomal RNA, internal transcribed spacer 2, and large subunit ribosomal RNA
Rfam family: 5.8S ribosomal RNA (bases 1-120)
Source: RNAcentral
GAUGAAGAACGCAGCGAAAUGCGAUAAGUAGUGUGAAUUGCAGAAUUCCGUGAAUCAUCGAAUCUUUGAACGCACAUUGCGCCUUCUGGUAUUCCGGAAGGCAUGCCUGUUCGAGAGUCAUUAACAACCGUUUCGAUCCCUUUCUUUCAGAAAUUACAAAGAGGAAAAGGGUUUGGUUAUGGUGGAGGAGGGAAAGGGAGCGUUUAGCCUGUAAAAAAAGAGGCUGUGUUCCGCCUCCCCCCCAAAAUUGUACAGGCGGUCGUGUGCGCCCACGCAUCGAGGUGUUGUAAAAGCUGCCACGGCACUUUUCACCUGUGCAGUGCGAGAUUGGCCAGCCGGUUUAAAACCCCCUCCAAACUAUCAAAGGUUGACCUCGGAUCAGGUAGGGAUACCCGCUGAACUUAAGCAUAUCAAUAAGCGGAGGA